Molecule: transfer RNA, 75 nt
Rfam family: tRNA
About the family: Transfer RNA (tRNA) molecules are approximately 80 nucleotides in length.
GGCCCCGUAGCUUAGGCUGGAUAGAGCGCCAGGCUUCGGACCUGGAGGUCGGGGGUUCAAAUCCCUCCGGGGUCG